RNAcentral lists this antisense RNA (75 nucleotides) under Streptomyces mangrovisoli. RNAcentral's name for it is "ASpks TB sRNA". It matches the Rfam family "ASpks TB sRNA". The record is from Rfam by way of RNAcentral. Lineage: Bacteria; Bacillati; Actinomycetota; Actinomycetes; Kitasatosporales; Streptomycetaceae.
CUUGAUCGACCCGAGCCACAGCGGGUGUUCGGCGUCGCGGUCCCGCCCGUAGGUGGCGAGCAGGGCUUGUGCCUC